CAUUCAGUAAACAUUUUAACCUUACCUGCCAGCCUGUUUUUGUAUUUGGUCACAUAGACGUUUUCUAUCCCUGAUCUGAGAAGUGCCCGAUGAAGUGACCAAUCAGCGCAGCUUUAGUGUUUUGAAAAUGUAACACAGUUCAUUUACUCAUGAUUUUAGUUUGUGUGAAAAAUCAGCCUUGUGUGUUACAUGAAUAGAGGGAUGUUCAUUUUUUAUGCAAGUCAGUUCUCCUGUGGGAACGGGGAGAUGAGAGACUCGAGGUCAAUCUGGGCUAAGCCCCGCUGGUGCCAGCGGACCCCCGGUUCCCCCGACAGACCCCGAGACAGUGCUGACAUCAGACCCAGGUCAAAUACUGAAGAAGUAAUGACAUCAGCCACGAGCCCUGGGUGUCCAUCUUGCAAUUAUCAAAUCCUGCAGUCUCUUACGGCGACGCCGAUUAGGACGCCAGUCUGGGCUCUGUGGCUGCUGUCAGAGUCUCCAGAACAGAGCACUGAUUUGUUCCUUUCUCUUGUCCAGACCUCAACAACAGCUUCAGAGGCCACAGAGGUGGAGACUCAGGAUGGAGGGAGUGCGUAGUAAGCCAGAGACCGUAUCAGCCAGUCCUGGAACCCCACUUACAGACACCACAGAGAAGACAAGGGGCCAGACUGAUUCUUUCCUUACUGCAGCUCGGCUUGUCCGCAGAGGAUGGACGGAGGAGGGGAACGAGACAGGGGGGCAAUUUUCCCAUUUUGACUGCUACAUACAUCAACCCUCUCUCUCCAGGUCAGAUGAAAAUCAGGGUCCAAACCAGGUUGAAAAGGACCCCUGGAGCAGGUGGGAUCCUGUUGUGAACAACAGGAAGAUCUCUGAGGAGAGAGUGACAGGCAUCGUGUAUGUGUGGAUGCCUGGAUGUCGUAUCACACGCAGACAGUCCAGGAGAUUUAAGGCCCCACUAUUACCAGUCAUUGCUGAGAUAUAGGCUAGCUGCCAUUUGCACCACAGUGAAUUAAAGGCACAUGCACAUAACACUUGGCUGUGCUUCUUCUUUGUUAGAAUAAUGGUAUUAGAAUUUUGCCUAUAGUCAUAUCCAUGUUUAAAUGGUGGACACUGAUGGCAUUAAUUCGUGUGAUUAAAGGAAGAGGUGUGCAUAUAGUGUCAUGUUUAUGCUGAUUUUGUUCUAUUCAUUAAAAUGCAAAUACUUACAAAUGUAAAUGUGGGUUGGUGUUCUGAUCUUGUAAGUACAUUUAAUUAUGGGUACAAGAAAAUCAUUCCAUAGUGAUUAAAGGGCUUUGUUAACCUGAUGGAUAUUUGGUGC
This is a long non-coding RNA of Monopterus albus (swamp eel), 1297 nucleotides long. RefSeq lists it as uncharacterized. The record is from RefSeq and is a predicted model, not a curated record. The transcript has 4 exons. Lineage: Eukaryota; Metazoa; Chordata; Actinopteri; Synbranchiformes; Synbranchidae.